CCCAGUUACAGUCCCCCUACUCGGAUCAGCCGGCCGCCAGACCCCCACCCACCUCCGAUCCCCGGACUGCUCGGGUUCUGCUGGACUACUGGAAGGGACCCGUGGGACUUUUAUUGCCUCCUUUAAGGGCGGGCCUGAGAGCCUGUGGUGUAGAUGUGGCUUUAGGAGAGGGGAAGGGAUGGGGCCGGUGAGAAGACUGAGGAAGAGGAAGAAUGAAUAGAGCGAUCGACAAAGAGGAGCCCGCUGUCUGAAAUAAUGCCGUCAUCCGUACGUCCCUCCUUCCGCCUGUCCAUCUAUCAUCCCUCCAUCCCUCUGUCUGUCCAUCACACACUGUCUUCUAGAGCUGUGGAGUGUGACAAUGGUGUUUGUUGUCUGAGCUUUCAAACGCCAUUAUCACACUAAAUAGCUACAGCGAGAACUGGCCCCACAAACGACCCCCUAAAUGCUAUAAAUGCUAUGAAUGUGUAUCUUCCUGGCCGAUUCUACUCUUCUGUACAUUGUGAAGCCUCACAAUUGUAUGGAAUGUAAGGGGGGAAAAAUACAAUAUCAAUCAAAUGAAUUCUUAUUUAACUUGGCAUGAAGGAGGUAUGCAUAUAUGAUGUUAUCAUUCAUUUAACCUAUCUUAUUGAGUGUAGGCUAGGUAUAAUCCCAAUGCUAUGAUAUCAGCGUGGAGGUAUGGUACUCAUGCAUGGUCCCUUGUGAGCGCACACAGAUAUAAAGAGACCGGUAAGUAUUAUGUAUUUCCUGGCCAGGUCCCACACGGUGACCUACUAACCUCUAUAUAUAGGGUGCUAAGAUAGGGCUCAUCACACUACAGGGUGAUCUUUAGAGACCUAUCCUAAUCCUUCUAUUGUUGUUUUUACGAGUUGAACCGGGGUGAGCUUGCUAUGCAUAGGCCCGAUGUAGAGUUCGUAAAUCCUAAUGAAAAUUGCCUUCAUUGAUGUGGUACAGUAUUGUAAUAAAUAAAGAUCAGGUGUCUUGUUGGAUUACCUGGAUGGGAAUUAAA
Molecule: long non-coding RNA, 1006 nt
Organism: Gadus morhua (Atlantic cod)
Lineage: Eukaryota; Metazoa; Chordata; Actinopteri; Gadiformes; Gadidae
Exons: 2
Source: RefSeq, a predicted model, not a curated record